GGGGAUGCAUGGCCCAGGAAACGCUUCUGCUGUCAACACCCAGAAACUCCAGUUGGUUUCCCCAAUGUCUGAUUCAAGAAACUGCAGGAUUCUGUGUUCAGAGCCCCCGGGACCAGGAAUAUUAGAGCGAUCACAGCACCGUGGAACUGCUGUGUACAGACUGUGUGCCCUGUCCUCGCUCAAAUUUCCUUUGCAUGAAACCGAAGCCUAUUUCUAUCAAGACACAGGCAUUUUUCCACUGGCUGGGAAACUGGCCCGCUGUAUUUUGUUUUAUAACAAACAAAAGAGGCAACUGUGCUGAAACGUUGCUGAGUAUUUAUCCUUCAGUUCCUGAGAUGGGUGGAAGAUCUCCCUGACAGUAGCAUGGGAUCUUCCUGACCCAGAGAUUGAACCCAUGUCUCCUGCAUUGGCAGGUGGAUUCUUCACCACUCAUACCACCUAGGAAGCCAAGAGGCUGCCUGAGGCUCCAUCAAACAGGCCCUGGAGGGUGUGGCCUCGGGAGACGUGAAACCAGGCAGACGUGAAAUGCGGCCACGUGACAGUGAAGGACGUGAAGAGAUGGACUCACACCCUCGGGGCCACCUGGCUCCUGAGGGGAUCCAAUGUCAAGUGUGAAAGUGAAUUUCAUUGUCUUCUCUGCAACAUAAAACUUACCUCCCCUCUGGUUACUAUUUUCCCAGUCACCUGUGUUAGAAACCUGGAAACAGGUUCAGAUGCAGCAGCAGCAGGCACCCAGCACCAUCGCCCCAGCCCCCCACACACACAUACAGUGGUCCUACAGGGUCACCUGAGUCCUUCUCUCCUCACGUCCAUCACCGUGGCUCAGGAGAAGGUAUUUCCAGCUUGGAAAGAGCCGGCAGGUUGGAGUCCCGGGCUCCUGAAAUGUUCUCCUGACACCUCCCCAUAUAAAUUUUUCAUCCUGGUCAUCAACAGCUACAAAUUGUUCAUCCAGUCAAUUAACAAACAAUGUUUCAGAUGCACAGCAAAGGAACUCAGCCAUACAUAUACAUGUAUCCAUUCUCCCCCAAACCCCUCCUCCCAUCCAGGCUGACACAUAACAUUGAGCAGGGUUCCCUGUGCUGUACAGUAGGACCUUAUUUGCUAUCCAUGUUAAAUACAGCAGUGUGUGCGUGUUCAUCCCAAACUCCCUAACUCUCUCCUCUCCCUAUUCUUCCCCACUGGCA
This is a long non-coding RNA of Bos taurus (domestic cattle), 1184 nucleotides long. NCBI's taxonomy places the organism in Eukaryota, Metazoa, Chordata, Mammalia, Artiodactyla, Bovidae. The record is from Ensembl.